UCGCACCUGCCGAUUGAAUGGUCCGGUGAAGCCUCGGGAUUGUGACCGGUUCGCUUCAUUGUGAGUUGGUCGCGAGAACUUGUCUGAACCUUAUCAUUUAGAGGAAGGUG
RNAcentral lists this ribosomal RNA (110 nucleotides) under uncultured eukaryote. RNAcentral's name for it is "partial small subunit ribosomal RNA". It matches the Rfam family "Eukaryotic small subunit ribosomal RNA", at positions 1676 to 1785 of the family's 1831-position model. The record is from RNAcentral.